AGUGAACGCUGGCGGUAGGCCUAACACAUGCAAGUCGAACGGCAGCACAGUAAGAGCUUGCUCUUACGGGUGGCGAGUGGCGGAUGGGUGAGGAAUACAUCGGAAUCUACUUAUUCGUGGGGGACAACGUAGGGAAACUUACGCUAAUACCGCAUACGACCUACGGGUGAAAGCAGUGGAUCUUCGGACCUUGCGCGAUUGAAUGAGCCGAUGUCGGAUUAGCUAGUUGGCGGGGUAAAGGCCCACCAAGGCGACGAUCCGUAGCUGGUCUGAGAGGAUGAUCAGCCACACUGGAACUGAGACACGGUCCAGACUCCUACGGGAGGCAGCAGUGGGGAAUAUUGGGCAAUGGGCGCAAGCCUGAUCCAGCCAUACCGCGUGAGUGAAGAAGGCCUUCGGGUUGUAAAGCCCUUUUGUUGGGAAAGAAAAGCAGCAUGUUAAUACCCCGCUGUUCUGACGGUACCCAAAGAAUAAGCACCGGCUAACUUCGUG
Molecule: ribosomal RNA, 492 nt
Filed under: uncultured bacterium
Lineage: Bacteria
Description: partial 16S ribosomal RNA
Rfam family: Bacterial small subunit ribosomal RNA
Source: RNAcentral